UAGUGCUCAGGAUGAUAUUUAAAGAUCCUCAACCACCUGAACAUCUUGUGAAUGAGAACAGUUGUGGUAUUUUGUAGCGAUGACCUUCAUCACCUUAAUCCUGACAAUGCUCCUCUGUCUACAUGGAUCCAGAGGUCAGUACACUCUGACUCAGACUCCAGCGGUGAAAGCUGCAUCUGUGGGGGACACGGCCAUUCUGACCUGUAAAGUCAGCAGUGCUGUGCACAGGAAUAGUAAUGGAAACUACCUUCACUGGUAUCAACAGAAGCCUGGAGGAGCUCCUAAACUUUUGAUAAAAUUGGCAAACCAACCACAUUCUGGAACUCCAUCUAGAUUCAAAGGGAGUGGAUCAAGCACAGACUUCACUCUGACCAUCAGUGGAGUCCAGACUGAAGAUGCAGGAGAUUACUACUGUCAGAGUCUUCACAACCCUAACAGUGUGUGGGUGUGGACUUUUGGUAGCGGCACGAAGCUUGAAGUUGGAAGUAACACCAGCCCCAAACUGACAGUCUUGCCCCCGUCAAGCGAAGAGCUCUCCAGCAAGAGUAUUGCCACGCUGGUGUGUCUGGCCAACGGAGGCUUCCCGUCAGACUGGGCUCUCAGCUGGAAGGUGGAUGGGAACAGCAAGACUGGGGUGGCCAGUCGCUGGGGUCCAGAGAAGAACGGCCUGUACAGCUGGAGCAGCACCCUGACCAUGUCUUCCCAGGAGUGGACCAAGGCUGCCUCCGUGACCUGUGAGGCCAAACAGGGCUCCCAGUCUCCAGUCACCAAGGCUAUAAAGCCAGGCGAAUGCUCUGACUAGAGCAAUUCCAUUUUCUUCAGUCUGGGUGACUGAUUAUAGUAUUUGUCUUAUUUUGUAUCGUUCAUGUGCUUACUGUACUGUGCUUAUCUUCAUUGACACAUAUCCACAGCCUUUUACUUCUUACUAUCUUGUACUGCCUAAUCAAUGAGAAAAUGUUCUUGUGCCAUUUCUGUUUUUGAAAAAAAUUUGAGUUGGAAAAAUAAAAACUUUCUACUGAACCACA
Sardina pilchardus (European sardine) is the source of this 1025-nucleotide non-coding RNA. NCBI's taxonomy places the organism in Eukaryota, Metazoa, Chordata, Actinopteri, Clupeiformes, Clupeidae. The record is from the annotation of a RefSeq genome assembly.